This 514-nucleotide ribosomal RNA is filed under the name uncultured bacterium. Its description in RNAcentral is "bacterial SSU rRNA". It matches the Rfam family "Bacterial small subunit ribosomal RNA", at positions 8 to 518 of the family's 1533-position model. The record is from RNAcentral.
AGUAGUUGAUCAUGGCUACAGGACGACGCUGGCGGCGUGCCUAACACAUACAAGUCGAACGGAACUAUUUAUGGAAGUCCUUCGGGAUGGAAAUGUUAGUUUAGUGGCGGACGGGUGAGUAACGCGUGAGUAACCUGCCUUUCAGAGGGGGAUAACGUUCGGAAACGAACGCUAAUACCGCAUAACAUAUAUUGGUCGCAUGGCUGAUAUAUCAAAGGAGCAAUCCGCUGAAAGAUGGACUCGCGUCUGAUUAGAUAGUUGGUGGGGUAAUGGCUCACCAAGUCUACGAUCAGUAGCCGGACUGAGAGGUUGAACGGCCACAUUGGGACUGAGACACGGCCCAGACUCCUACGGGAGGCAGCAGUGGGGGAUAUUGCACAAUGGGCGCAAGCCUGAAUGCAGCAACGCCGCGUGAGGGAAGACGGUUUUCGGAUUGUAAACCUCUGUCUUUGGUGAAGAAACAAAUGACGGUAACCAAGGAGGAAGCCACGGCUAACUACGUGCCAGCCGCUGC